This 2323-nucleotide long non-coding RNA is filed under the name Podarcis lilfordi (Lilford's wall lizard). Lineage: Eukaryota; Metazoa; Chordata; Lepidosauria; Squamata; Lacertidae. The record is from RNAcentral.
GGCCGGCGGUUGAUCAGUUGUGACAGCUGCUCUGGACUUAAGAAAGAAAUACAAUAAGCAGAAGCUAAUUCUCCUUAGGCUUCCACCUCAGAAUUAUAAUCCUAUUUAUGACAUCACAAUUGGUUGCUGUGGGAACACCACUGGUAUCAUGAAGAGAGAGUUACAGAGGGAAUAAGCAGCUGGAACAGAUGACCUUUCUUAUACAAAAAUAAGGCUCCUGUUUUCAUACAAAAAACAGGGGUUCCAAAAAAAGAACAACUAAGUGAAGUGCAGAAGAUGCACAUUAUGGUUUCUAAAAAAUGCUGCUCAUUGUCUUCCACUAGCUGUCUUUGAGCUGCUUUUAAAACAGCUAAGUCACACAUAGAAGGGAUGGUUUGCAUGCGUGACUCAUGGAUCCCCAGUUUGGCAUUUUUUCCACUCCUUUCAUGGAUGAGUAUGUACUCUCCUUUCCUAUUCAUAUUGCUGUUUUUUUCUGGGCUUCUGGGAAGGGCAGCAUAAUAAAUAGAUAAUAAAAUGAUGGUGAUAAUUCUAUCACUCAAACUGGCUCUCCCCUUAGAUGAGUGACAGAGCUACACAUUGUUUAUUUAUUUCAUAAAAUGCAUGUGCCAUUUGGUGUGAGUGUUUAAAAAAACCCUCCAAGCAAUUUGCAAAAAGAAUGAAAUUAUUGGUAAAAACAGCUGAAAGCAGUGAUUUAAAAUGUUCCAAAAAUAAUUAAAACAAAUGAGGAGCUAAAGCCCAAAUUAAAACACUUGUCCACAUUCUACAUAACUGGAUAGUAUUGCCUAAACAAACUGGGAUUAUUGUAGAGUGGCUAGGGCAACCCAGCCAGAUGGGCAGGGUAUAAAUAUUUUUAUUAUUAUGUACUGUGGUCAUUGGGAGAGAGUCAACAUAGGUCUGCUGUGUUUCUUAUAAGUUAUAGUUUUGCCUGUUAUAUGGCCUGAUAUGAAAGUAAAUGGACCAUUAACUGUUCUUUAAAUCUGAAGACAGUCUUUGAUUGGAGCAUCACACUUGGGACAGAAACGUUUUUGGUUCUUCUUAAAUUUGUUAGCCUUGAUGCCAGCAAAGCUUGUCCCAAGUUUACCCUACUGGAGUUUGGGCUCAGCAAGUCACAGGUUCAGUUGAACAGGUGUAGAUGAGGCACAAGGCUCCAGGAGCUCCCAGGCGCAGUAAAUGGGGAGGUAGCUGUGCCAUUUUGUUAUCUGACCCCAAGGAGACGUGAUGCGAAUCUUCAAAAUGCAGGUUAAAUAUUACAUUAAGGGAAAAAAAAUUCUAUAAAAGGUCUGAGCAUUCUGAAAAUCCUCAGAAUGCUGUCUGGAAUGAUAAAACCGUACUUAGUAUGAUUUGUACAAGUGCCUUACAGGAAGAAAUUACUCAUUCUCAGAUGAUGGCACUUGAAAACCUCCCAUUAAAAAUGGAAGAAAAAAACAUAUGUAGACUUUAGCUUAAGGUCUGCUUCUAGUUUGGCUUCAGAUUGUUAGUCCAGUUUCUGGACAAAUUAGGAAGGCUGUCUCGUUGAUGCUCAGAUGUUCAAGUGGUAACCAUUCUUUCUCAUGAUACAUACAUAUCCAUUUUGUCUUGUUUCCUUCAAUCAGGCCCAGCAUCAGCACCCUUAGGCAGCUACAGGAGCUCCAGCAUCCUGGCUUGCCUGCCACUUUUAUUUCCCAUAAUGCUUUGCCAGAGGCAUUGUGGGAAAUAAAAAUGGCAGCUCCUUAGCUACCCAGCGCUGGCUCAGAGCACUGCUGUUUUCCUCCCGUUGAGGUAGAAAGGGGUUUCCAAGAAGGUGCUUGGCCAAGCCCCCCCCCCCCGACCCUCAUUUCAGGAAUGAGUCACUGGUGUCCUUCUCUUGCGGGUUUGGAAUCUGAAAAUGCAAAGCCCCUGAGGGGCCAUGUGACAUUUUGGUGACUUGUCCUGUUUUUCCAGGCGCAAGGUUCGCUCAUAACAAUAUUCCUUUCCCUUCUUAGUUAUUGUGAGAUAUGUUACUGAGUGGUCUGGAACCAAGAGCGCUUCCAGACUUUUAUUUUUUGGGUGGGAUUCAAUCACAUGCCAGCAAAUUCCGGUUGCACAAUGACAGUUGAUUGGGAGGUCUUGCACAAUAAACCCACUUGCAAUAAGGAAAGUUUCAGGAAAAUAACGCUUCCAUUGAUGUAACACCAUCUACUCUCCCUACAGACAAAUAAGAAUGUUCAAUGAAAGGUCCUCUGGAAGCGGCCCAAUUGGUGCAAUUUUUUUUGUUUCAUUUUAGAUUUUUACCACUAAAGCCUGUGCUUGCUUUCCUCCCCCUCCUUGGAGUGAGGCAGCUUACUGGGCAAAGUGAGCCACACAG